UAAAUACUCGCUCCAUCCCAAAAAUCUUGUCUUACAUUUGUGUAGAUAUGAAUGUAUCUAGUCACAUUUUAGUAUUUAGAUACAUCUAUUUAUAGACAAAUUUAAGACAAGAAUUUUAAGACGGAGGGAGUAGGAG
This is a non-coding RNA of Hordeum vulgare subsp. vulgare (domesticated barley), 136 nucleotides long. Lineage: Eukaryota; Viridiplantae; Streptophyta; Magnoliopsida; Poales; Poaceae. The record is from Rfam.